CAGUAGCCACGGUAAUACGUAGGGUGCAAGCGUUAAUCGGAAUUACUGGGCGUAAAGCGUGCGCAGGCGGUUAUAUAAGACAGAUGUGAAAUCCCCGGGCUCAACCUGGGAACUGCAUUUGUGACUGUAUAGCUAGAGUACGGCAGAGGGGGAUGGAAUUCCGCGUGUAGCAGUGAAAUGCGUAGAUAUGCGGAGGAACACCGAUGGCGAAGGCAUUCCCCUGGGCCUGUACUGACGCUCAUGCACGAAAGCGUGGGGAGCAAACAGGAUUAGAUACCCCAGUAGUCCCUGUCUCUUAUAA
This 301-nucleotide ribosomal RNA is filed under the name uncultured bacterium. Its description in RNAcentral is "partial 16S ribosomal RNA". It matches the Rfam family "Bacterial small subunit ribosomal RNA", at positions 509 to 809 of the family's 1533-position model. The record is from RNAcentral.